UUUGAGGGAGAUGGGGUAGGUUGUGGUUGUGGCUUUGGCACCGAAGGCGUUGGGUUCUCGCUUGGAGGAUUUGAAGGAGUUGAAGGUUUUGGCUCUGGCUUUGGAACAUAAGGUGUUGGUGUUUGAUGUUGAUCACUUGGUGGGGAAUGUGAGUGAGAUUGGCUACCUUUAGUACAUUGUGCCUUGCUACAAUCAACAGGUUUGCUUAUAACAACAUUGCAAUCAUUUGCUGUCUUUUGUUUUGGUCUGUCAGGUACACAAUUAUAACUAUCAUCCAACAAAAUGUCUUUUCCAGGAGGCACACAACCUUCUUCCUCACCAUUGAAAUAGUUAUUUGAGAAUGUAAAGUUACCCAAAUUAGACAAACUACAGAUAUUUUUUGGAACAAAACCUGUUAGUUUGUUAUGUGCAAUAGACAAAAUUUCCACUUUCUUGAGUCCCUUACAUGUCUUUGGCAACAUACCGACAAACAAAUUUUGACUCACGUCAAAAACAGUGACUUGUUCAAGCUUUCCCAUUUCUGAAGGCAAACAACCG
RNAcentral lists this long non-coding RNA (537 nucleotides) under Trifolium pratense (red clover). RNAcentral describes it as "long non-coding RNA (TPRA_LNC005739)". Lineage: Eukaryota; Viridiplantae; Streptophyta; Magnoliopsida; Fabales; Fabaceae. The record is from RNAcentral.